GACGAACGCUGGCGGCGUGCUUAACACAUGCAAGUCGAACGGAAAGGCCCUGCUUUUGUGGGGUGCUCGAGUGGCGAACGGGUGAGUAACACGUGAGUAACCUGCCCUUGACUUUGGGAUAACUUCAGGAAACUGGGGCUAAUACCGGAUAGGAGCUCCUGCUGCAUGGUGGGGGUUGGAAAGUUUCGGCGGUUGGGGAUGGACUCGCGGCUUAUCAGCUUGUUGGUGGGGUAGUGGCUUACCAAGGCUUUGACGGGUAGCCGGCCUGAGAGGGUGAACGGCCACCUUGGGACUGCGAUACGGCCCAGACUCCUACGGGAGGCAGCAGUGGGGAAUAUUGCACAAUGGGCGGAAGCCUGAUGCAGCAACGCCGCGUGCGGGAUGACGGCCUUCGGGUUGUAAACCGCUUUCGCCUGUGACGAAGCGUGAGUGACGGUAGUGGGUAAAGAAGCACCGGCUAACUACGUG
Molecule: ribosomal RNA, 468 nt
Filed under: uncultured bacterium
Lineage: Bacteria
Description: partial 16S ribosomal RNA
Rfam family: Bacterial small subunit ribosomal RNA
Source: RNAcentral